RNAcentral lists this long non-coding RNA (1738 nucleotides) under Gossypium barbadense (sea-island cotton). RNAcentral's name for it is "long non-coding RNA (GBAR_LNC002953)". The record is from RNAcentral. Lineage: Eukaryota; Viridiplantae; Streptophyta; Magnoliopsida; Malvales; Malvaceae.
CCCAAGAUACCAGCCGAGCAAAGAAGACAGGAUAACACAUCAGUGGCAAAACCUUGAUGAACGUUGAGCAAUGACAAUCCAAAUAUUAAAAAGGGAUCAUUCUCACGACAUUCUGCAUUCAUGCAAAUAUCAUAUACACCUAGUUAGGAGCAUUCGAUUCAUUCUGAUCAAAGCAUCCUAAUCAUUCAGCAUAAACAUAGUUUUAUAAAAUCGAUUCUACAGGUCAUGUUCCCCAGAGAGCGGCGUAACAAACCGGUGAAACCAUAAAUCCUAUACCGUUGAAAUUAUAGUAGGUCGACUUAAGUCAUCAUAGUAAACCUUAUCUCUCUGAAGUUGCAGUUGAGCAGGUUGAAGUAACAAGUCGCAUCUCCUUGAAGUUGCAGUGAAACAGACUGAAGUUAACAGAUCUUAUCUCCCUGAAGUUGCAGUAGAGCAGAUCGAAGCCGCAGACCUUAUCUCUCUAAAGUUGCAGUAGAGUGGGUUGAAAUAGUAAGUCUCAUCUCCCUGAAGUUGCAGUGGAGCAGAUCGAAGUCGCAAACCUUAUCUCUCUGAAGUUGCAGUAGAGUGGGUUGAAAUAGCAAGUUUCAUCUCCCUGAAGUUGUAGUGGAGCAGACUGAAGAUUGCAGAUCUUGUCUCCCUAAAGUUGCAGUGGAGCAGAUCAAAGCCACAAUCCUUAUCUCUCUAAAAUUACAGUAGAGCAGGAUAAAAUUACCCAAGUCUCAUCUCCCUGAAGUUGUAGUGGAGUAGCCUGAAGUUAACAAAUUUUAUCUCCCUGAAGUUGCAGUGGAGCAGAUCGAAGCCACAAUCCUUAUCUCUCUGAAGUUAUGGUAGAGCAAGAUAAAAAUACACGAACCGUAUCUCCCUAAAGUUGCAGUGGAGCAGUUGCAGUAGAGCAGAUUAAAAACUACAAGGCUAGUCUCUCUAGAUUUACAGUAGAGUAGAUUGGAGCGACAAUUACUAUACCCCUGAAGUUGCAAAGAAUUGGAAUAAGGCUACCUUGAAGAAGAAGUGCAUCAAAGAAGUCAUGAUUUAGCGAGACCGGACAAAAUUGGUCCUCUUUGAAGUCUUUGCUCUAUUCUCGUUACACAACAAUGAGCAAAGAGGGGCAUCUGUAAGGCCCAAUUUUGGCCCGGGCCCGUGCAAACACAAAAAAAAGAGAGAGAAUAAAUUAUAAUAAAAUAUAAAGUCCAUUUACAUCAGCCAAUUGACAAAACAUCAAUCCAAUUACAGUCCAAAAAUUCAAGGCCCAAGUGGCCCAAAAUCAAAACAGUUUCAGAAACCCUAGCAACAAGGAGCACCGCAGUCCCCAACCCACAGCGCCGUACGGCCUCCUAGAGCCAUAGCCAUGCCCACGCCUCCGUAUGCCAGCGCACAGUCCCCGUACACGCGCCACGCACACCACGUACCUGCAAGAAGAGACAAACACAACAGCAAAUACAAAAAAAUAGAAAAAAUUGUAUUUUUUUAUUUUGAUUUUUCUUUUCGGCUAUAAAGCCAAGAGAUUUGAUUUUUGUAAGAGGUUACGCACUACGCAUAUGUAAGAGGUUACACACUACGCAUACUUAAUAUCAGAAAAAGGCAUUUCAAAAAGCAAUUUUUUUUCUCUUAAGGUGAUUUUCUGUCUUUCCGGUUUCUUUAAUUUUUGUUGAAUCAACUCAUUUUACUCUUUCGAUUUUUCAUUGUUGCAUUCAAAAAUAAAAGAGAAAAAGAAAAGGCGAAGUCAUACCUUGCGAUUAGG